RNAcentral lists this microRNA precursor (136 nucleotides) under Hordeum vulgare. RNAcentral describes it as "microRNA MIR1122". It matches the Rfam family "MIR1120/MIR1122 microRNA precursor family". The record is from RNAcentral. Lineage: Eukaryota; Viridiplantae; Streptophyta; Magnoliopsida; Poales; Poaceae.
GUUAUACUUCCUUUGUUUCAAAAUUCUUGUCUUAGAUUUGUUUAGAUAUGAAUGUAUUUACUCAAGUUUUAGUAUUUAGAUACAUCUAUUUCUAGACAAAGUUAAGACAAGAAUUUUAGAACGAAGGGAGUAGUUA